GUGGGGAAUCUUGGACAAUGGGCGCAAGCCUGAUCCAGCCAUGCCGCGUGAGUGAUGAAGGCCCUAGGGUUGUAAAGCUCUUUCGCCAGGGAAGAUAAUGACGGUACCUGGAUAAGAAGCCCCGGCUAACUCCGUGCCAGCAGCCGCGGUAAUACGGAGGGGGCUAGCGUUGUUCGGAAUUACUGGGCGUAAAGCGCACGUAGGCGGCUAUCCAAGUUGGGGGUGAAAUCCCUGGGCUUAACCCAGGAACUGCCUUCAAAACUGGAUGGCUAGAGUCCGAGAGAGGUGAGUGGAAUUUCCAGUGUAGAGGUGAAAUUCGUAGAUAUUGGAAAGAACACCAGUGGCGAAGGCGGCUCACUGGCUCGGUACUGACGCUGAGGUGCGACAGCGUGGGGAGCAAACAGG
Molecule: ribosomal RNA, 405 nt
Filed under: bacterium
Lineage: Bacteria
Description: bacterial SSU rRNA
Rfam family: Bacterial small subunit ribosomal RNA
Source: RNAcentral